Molecule: ribosomal RNA, 504 nt
Filed under: uncultured bacterium
Lineage: Bacteria
Description: partial 16S ribosomal RNA
Rfam family: Bacterial small subunit ribosomal RNA
Source: RNAcentral
AUUGAACGCUGGCGGCAGGCCUAACACAUGCAAGUCGAACGGUAGCACAGAGAGCUUGCUCUCGGGUGACGAGUGGCGGACGGGUGAGUAAUGUCUGGGAAACUGCCCGAUGGAGGGGGAUAACUACUGGAAACGGUAGCUAAUACCGCAUAACGUCGCAAGACCAAAGUGGGGGACCUUCGGGCCUCACACCAUCGGAUGUGCCCAGAUGGGAUUAGCUAGUAGGUGGGGUAAUGGCUCACCUAGGCGACGAUCCCUAGCUGGUCUGAGAGGAUGAGCAGCCACACUGGAACUGAGACACGGUCCAGACUCCUACGGGAGGCAGCAGUGGGGAAUAUUGCACAAUGGGCGAAAGCCUGAUGCAGCCAUGCCGCGUGUAUGAAGAAGGCCUUCGGGUUGUAAAGUACUUUCAGCGGGGAGGAAGGCGGUGAAGUUAAUAGCUUCACCGAUUGACGUUACCCGCAGAAGAAGCACCGGCUAACUCCGUGCCAGCCGCCGCAGUAA